Molecule: long non-coding RNA, 4556 nt
Filed under: Triticum aestivum (bread wheat)
Lineage: Eukaryota; Viridiplantae; Streptophyta; Magnoliopsida; Poales; Poaceae
Description: long non-coding RNA (TAES_LNC012456)
Source: RNAcentral
UUGACUUGUUUUACAUGGGAUUUUUGAUGUGUUAAAAUUGUUGUUGUGCUUCCGAUUCUUGGCAUUGACAGUCUGGUUCCAUCGAGAUCGAUGAUGAAGAUGUCAGUGCCCAUGGAAGUGGCAAGCAGAUCACCAGGCAGAAGUUGAGGCGAUCAUCAGUUACCAGUAGUCGUCAUGAAGAAGCCAAGGCCAUGCAGCUGUUGGUGAUGGGACCUGUCAGGAUGCCCACCAAGGUGCUCAACAUCAGCACCAGGAAGUCCCCCCUGUGGCGCAAGGUGAACUCUCCCGCCUCUCUGCUCGAUCCCAUUUACUUGGUUGAUCCCUGCCAAUAUUGUGUGGUAUAUCCUUGGUGAAUUUGUCAUCCCAUCAGUACUGAAAUUGAGUUGAAAUUCUUAUAACAGAGCCAUGCUUGUAACUGUGUCAGAUCAUACAAUGUUGAACUUAAUGUUCCUUGGUUUGCAUUCUUGCACUAGAAAACAUGAUUGCAGUUUAUUUGAGAAGACCCAUGUUUGUAAUCAUGUGAGAUCAUUGGAUUUUGAGCUAACAUUUCAUUGGUUUGCGCUAAGAAGCCCGUUUGUUUGCCAACGGUUGGUCUCAGCUACAGAAACAAUCACUCUUGUACUGAUGGUAUCUUGGUUUGCGUCUAGAAACACAUUUGUUAAACAAUAAUCAGUCUCAGCUACAGAAAAUACCGGUUAAUGUACUGUUGGUAUCUUUUAAAAUACAAAUAACUCUAUGGUUUGUACAGAAACAACAACGUCUGGCUGUGUUGAGAGCUAUAGACAUAAUGAUUCUCAUAUAAGUAGGAUAUACAUAAGAUGUUUAAAAUGACCAGAAUCAUGCUUCUCACUUUCUGCCAUAUUAAGGCACUUGGUUGUGUAACCAAGAGCCCAUUUGUGGUUCUAGUUAUAAUUUACUGUUAUGUCAUAAAUAGGAUGAUUUUGACUUACUCUUGUGUCCAGAUUAGAACUUUGUAACUGUGUCAGACCGUUGCAUUGUGGACUAACAGUUCCUUGGUCCGCAUUAAGGAACCGUUCGCUAAGAAACCAGCCAGGUGGUCUCGCCUACAGAAACUACCACUCUCUUUGGUGUCUGGUGAUAGUAUAUCUUUUAGAAGACACAAAUAAGUCUUUUGUUUCUACAAAAACAACAGCAUCUGGUUAUGGUGAAAGAUAUAGAGAUAUUGUGCUCAUAUCAGUAGAAUAUAUGCACGAGAUGUUGAAAAUGGCCAAAAUCACACUUCUUGCUUUUGGCCAUACUAACGCACUUAGUGGUGUAAUUAGGCUGCAUUUGUGGGCCAUGCUUGUGUGUUUGAUUCUACUACGUCCAUUCCAAAAUAUAAUACGUUUUGGAAUGGAGGUGGUAAUUAGCUAGGGGAUUGUUUACUGGUUGCAGUUAGAUUUUAGUGUUGUGUUUUAUAAAGGAUGAUUUUGACUUACUGUUUGCGCGUCCAGAUUAGAUAUAUGCAUCUGCUUUUGGGAAAUAACACAAUGCUAAAUGUGACAUUGAAAAUUGAGGAUGUUAACCAUUAUAUCCCCUUCCUUAUUUGUAGAAUGUAAUUGUGUCAGAUCAUUGGAUUGUCAGCUAACCAUUCCUUAGUUUGUAUUAAGAAACCGUUUGUUAAAACUUAAAACAGCAGGCAGUCUAAGCUACGAAAACUAUUGCUUGCUCUAGUGGUAGUAUCUUUUAGAAGACACAUAUAAGUCUUUGGCAUCUACAAAGACAACAUCAUCUUGUUAUGGUGAGAGCUGGCACUUGGUUGCAUAAUCAGAACCUAUUUGUGGUUGCUGUGUUUGUGUGCUGGAGUAUAUCGCCUUGACUUCACAUCUGAAUGGCAAUAGCAUAUCUCUCACUUUAUGUUGCAUCUGGUUUUCUACAGUCUGCUAUUGUCUGCAAAUUUUGUAUUGUGUUGACUUGUGACCCCUUUUGGUUGUCUUGAUGUUUGGAUUUCUUUACGAUUUGGCACUUUUGCUGGUGAUAUGACUCUGAUGUUAUGUCUUUUGCAACCCGGUGCAGAAGCCCGUGAACUCGUCUGUGUGGGCCUCCUGGGGUGCGAUGGCGGCGGUGGCGGUAUACAGCCUUGUCUACAACUGUGCGGUAAGUUCAUGGUUUUCCUCUGUCCACCCCUCUCCCGGUUGCUCUGAGACCUAGCCCUAGAGCUAUGGCUGCUCAGUGUGCCGGUCAUCGAGCCAUGGUUUAUUAUGUGAUGGUAGACUCUCUAGCCAUUUCCUUACACCAGUAGUAUUGUUACUGUUCGCAUGUUCAAGCUUUUUGAUAUGCUCUCGGUUAAUGAUCAUGACUUCACUUUGUGAAUGGUCUUGCCCUGCUACGGGUGUUAUCAUCUUUGUUUUUGUGGGCUUGCUAAAUAAUUUUAAUCAUAGAUAUUCUAUGGGUGUUUCUGAGAUUCCCACAUAGAUUCAGAUUAUACUAGAUGGUAGCUUAGCUUCUUUUGUUAGUACUGGUGCAUGGUUUGUUCCGGAUUUGAUGUAAAGCAUUAGUCUUGAUAUGCAAGGAACAAUUCAUCUAGGACGAUGUUUUGCUGAAUCCAACUGAUCGUUGUUGUUUAGACUUGCCAAUGGUGCAUUGUCUGUGUAGCAGUGUUCCUUAAGUUUUGACAAGUGAAGCAAUAGGACACAUGAUGAUGCUAGGUUAUUUGUAUUUUUUCAGCGAUGAACUCGCGAACUAGUUCGCAGGCGGCCUAGUCCUUCCAGUGAGCAAUGAUAUGUAGGAUCUCUCAAAGAAAAUUCUCAUUCCAUACAUACCGAGUGUCUUUCCCCACUCUUUUGUUUUUAGCUUGUCAUGGCAAGAUUUCUUCCUGGCAAGUUAAGUAUAUGUGAAUGUUCAUCAACAUGCAAAAACUGAGUUGCAGUUAUUUGAUGUUUUGCCAGGGCAGUUUCUACGAGAUGCAAACAUGAUUGUGCUUGUCGCCCAGGACCAGGAUGUCGACGUAUGGUGUGCACCAGGAGGCGAACUCGUGCGGCUCAAGGACAGAUUGUUGUGAUGAUCUAUCUGGGUUGUCUAGAAAAAUCCCAAUUUUGAGUGAAGAGUGGAUCCUGUUUGCUGCAAUCUUCAGUACGUAUUGGAUCCCAAUUCCGUUUGUUUCUGGGAUGAUGCAGAUUUUUUGCCUGUCUAUACUAUAACUUGCUGAGAAGAACCAAUUGUCGCAGAUACUAGUGUCGAUGUUGCCUAACCAUUGUUCGAGGCUGAAGAAGCAAAUAGAUGAUCUGGAUGAGAAGAUGGUGGUGACUGACUCUUCUCCCGAGUCUUUGGCGUCCAAGUAGAUCCAGGUGAGUACUUUAGUAACUCAGGCCAUAUGAUCUGGGGCAACAUUGCUGCAUGACAUUAUUUGGCCAUCUCAGUUUUUACUGGUUGCACGACUAUAGCUCCUUUAGUAACCCAGGCCAGUAUGGCCAUUCAGAUAAAUUUGGCCAUCUUCAAGGGAUACGAAAUGACCACUCAAGUAACCCAGUUCCAGUGUAAUACGGACAUGAAGUAAAGCACCAGAUCAUAAUUGUUGUAGCGGCCCUUGUUCUACCUUGGCACCUCGUGCCAACAUAACAAACUGUUUUUAGGCCGUUGUGAUGUAAACUGCCGGUCCAUGUCUUUUGAUAAGCAAGCACAUUUAUCUAGAUGUCAUGUUAGUGUGUGCUUUGAUAGCUGCAUGUUGUCCGUCAAGUAAGAGUGCAUUUACCAACCAUACCAGGAUCCAUCUCAAUACGAGUUAGCAUCUGAUAGCUGUUGCAUGUUCUUUUCAUUUUGUUGGUACAAUUUCUGUUUGUCCAUAAUCUUAGAGCCUAAGUACUAUUUAUGAGAAUUUCCUGAAAGUGAAAUAUGACAAGAAAACUGGACUGGUUAAGGUGUUAUGUUUGUAAAAACUCUUGCUAACAGAUGCUGCUAAGCUAGCUAUGUUAAAUUUCUUGAGGUGGCUGAUAAGAACUUGUGGCAUACUCGACCUAUUCCAAUGUGUUUUGCUGAUGUGCUUCUUGGACGUGACAGGAUUGUCCUUUGUAGGUUGCUUUCUUGUGAUAACCCCUUGUUCGUUUGCUAUUAAUUGAUCUUGUUCUCUCUUGCUCUUUGCCCAGGAUGGUGAGGACGGCGAAAAGAAAAGAUUUUUGCUGGAGAUGGUGCACCCACACCCAUCGGGCUAUUCUUCCGGAGGGCAAAGCGGGCAAGAAGAGGGGUCAAUGGAGCUUGGAGCUCUAUGGGAAGUCUGGUGGUUUUGCUUUAUAUUUUGAUUUUUACAUGUGAAUGGGACGUUGUUUGCCUCGUUUUGCCGGGUGCUCAUGUUGUAUCCAACAUAUGUCUUUUUGAAAAGCAAUGUCAUGCUUCUCUAUGGGAGACGAGAGGUGCAUUUGGGAAGUCGCAAAAUCAUUGCUUUGUCAUGGGCUGGUCUGAGUUUCAAACAAUGUGAUGUUUUUUUUCUCUCGAAUGACAACCAGGAUAUUAGUAUGAUCUUUUUUUUAUCCAAUGUAUGUACCGAAGGAUCAUCACCCUCUUAUGUUUUUGUGUCGUGAAUACUCACGAGCUAAUCAUCCUCGUGUUUCGUAAAAUUUAAG